RNAcentral lists this long non-coding RNA (221 nucleotides) under Panax ginseng (ginseng). RNAcentral's name for it is "long non-coding RNA (PGIN_LNC018465)". The record is from RNAcentral. Lineage: Eukaryota; Viridiplantae; Streptophyta; Magnoliopsida; Apiales; Araliaceae.
UUAUAGGCUAAUGACUUAGCAGCCAUAUGGUCACCACAAAUGCCUUCAUGCACUUCCCGAAGAGCAUAUUCAGCUUCAGAUGGAGUCAAACAUUUCAAUAAUGGAGACGAGAAGGCCCUUCGGAAAAGAUCCCCAUCAAUCAGAACAAAGUUAGCACUCUUGUACUUGAUUUUCUUAGCAAGCAUCCGAUCCGAAGGUAAGACGCCAUCUGCCAAAUAUUC